UUUAUGAUGGUGGUGAUGGGGUGGGGAAAUAUUUGUUAUAAAAGGAUUUGCUCGGUAUCAAGAAGAUACAAAAGAUUAACAUUUUCUUUACCGUGAACAUUGUGUUUUACGAUUGUUCAUUAAAUAUGAAUUCUUUCGUUUUUUAUUUGAUCACAUUUUUAUUAGCGACAUUAUUAUUAUCAACAAUUGCUCAUCCAUUGGAUAUCGAUACCGAUAAAUUAUUAAAUUUAUCUAAGAAUGGAACUGAAGUCAACUUACCUGAAAUUAGUUUACCCAAAGAAUUAGAUCAUUUGUUGGGUGGUGUCGAAAGAAGAAUUGACUAAAAUUACAAAAUCCCUUCGAAAAAUCGAUGGAAUCUGUUUCUAUAAUAAAUCCACCAUCAAUAUACUGUCCUGAUAAUCAAAAAUGUGACGAAUAUGGAAUCUGCUGUAUACACGUAUCAUCAAAAUGAACAAUCUAAUCAUUAUUCUAUCGAGAUAAUUAUAUUCAAUUGUAAUCAUUUUCUCUAAUAAAAUUGUCUGAUUACUUAUAA
Molecule: long non-coding RNA, 532 nt
Organism: Polistes canadensis
Lineage: Eukaryota; Metazoa; Arthropoda; Insecta; Hymenoptera; Vespidae
Exons: 2
Source: RefSeq, a predicted model, not a curated record